Molecule: ribosomal RNA, 959 nt
Filed under: uncultured bacterium
Lineage: Bacteria
Description: bacterial SSU rRNA
Rfam family: Bacterial small subunit ribosomal RNA
Source: RNAcentral
AGAGUUUGAUCCUGGCUCAGGAUGAACGCUAGCGGCGUGCAUGACCCAUGCAAGUCGAACGGGCGAGGAAUAAGACCGAUGGGUGGAGAGAACGGAAGCACGAAAGUGUGGAAGGGGAGCAAGCCCAGGAGGAAUUGCCCUUGCCAGUGGCGAACGGGUGAGUAACACGUAGGUAAUCUGCCUCGAGGUGGGGAAUAGCUGUUCGAAAGGACAGAUAAUACCGCAUGAGAUCGCGAGAUGAAAGGGCGCAAGCCCGCCUUGAGAUGAGCCUGCGGCCGAUUAGCUAGUUGGUGAGGUAAUGGCCCACCAAGGCGAUGAUCGGUAGCUGGUCUGAGAGGACGAUCAGCCACACUGGAACUGAGACACGGUCCAGACUCCUACGGGAGGCAGCAGUGGGGAAUAUUGGACAAUGGGCGCAAGCCUGAUCCAGCCAUGCCGCGUGGGUGAAGAAGGCCUUCGGGUUGUAAAGCCCUUUUGUCCGGAAAGAAAAGCUUCGGGCUAAUACCCCGGGGUUCUGACGGUACCGGAAGAAUAAGCACCGGCUAACUUCGUGCCAGCAGCCGCGGUAAUACGAAGGGUGCAAGCGUUACUCGGAAUUACUGGGCGUAAAGCGUGCGUAGGUGGUUUGUUAAGUCUGAUGUGAAAGCCCUGGGCUCAACCUGGGAAUUGCAUUGGAUACUGGCAGGCUAGAGUGCGGUAGAGGAUGGCGGAAUUCCCGGUGUAGCAGUGAAAUGCGUAGAGAUCGGGAGGAACAUCUGUGGCGAAGGCGGCCAUCUGGACCAGCACUGACACUGAGGCACGAAAGCGUGGGGAGCAAACAGGAUUAGAUACCCUGGUAGUCCACGCCCUAAACGAUGCGAACUGGAUGUUGGGGGUAGUCCUUCAGUGCCGAAGCUAACGCGUUAAGUACCCCGCCUGGGGAGUACGGUCGCAAGGUUAAAACUUAAAUGAAUUGACGG